AAAGCAGGCUGCCUGCCCUAGCAGUAGCAACUUGCUCAGAUUUAUGUUUCCGUAGUGUGGGAGCUUUGUUCUUUCACUGUUUGCGGUGCCAUUCCAUAUAAAGUGAAGGAUAACGGCUACAGCAUUUUUUGUUAGACUUGGACAAUGUUGAAUGUACUACAGAAGCAUACUUUAAGGCUCCAGAGAGAGACAAGGAGAUGAGGAGACAAGCAGACGAACAGCGGAACAAUGCAGCAGAGAAAGAGAGAAGAGAAGGAACGUCUGAACGUCGAGAGGAGUUCGGCUGCUGGACGGCCAAACUCCAGGGGAAGAUCAUCUUCCCACUCCAUUCCCCCUCCAGCUCCCCAUCCAUCCCACUGAGAGC
RNAcentral lists this long non-coding RNA (364 nucleotides) under Homo sapiens (human). RNAcentral's name for it is "HSALNT0332166". Lineage: Eukaryota; Metazoa; Chordata; Mammalia; Primates; Hominidae. The record is from RNAcentral.